This 389-nucleotide ribosomal RNA is filed under the name Agaricomycetes sp. Its description in RNAcentral is "partial small subunit ribosomal RNA". It matches the Rfam family "Eukaryotic small subunit ribosomal RNA", at positions 582 to 975 of the family's 1831-position model. Lineage: Eukaryota; Fungi; Basidiomycota; Agaricomycetes. The record is from RNAcentral.
AUUCCAGCUCCAAUAGCGUAUAUUAAAGUUGUUGCAGUUGAAAAGCUCGUAGUCGAACUUCAGACCUGGCUGGGCGGUCUGCCUUAACGGUACGUACUGUCCGGCCGGGCCUUACCUCUUGGUGAGCCGGCAUGCCCUUUACUGGGUGUGUCGGGGAACCAGGACUUUUACUUUGAGAAAAUUAGAGUGUUCAAAGCAGGCUUAUGCCCGAAUACAUUAGCAUGGAAUAAUAGAAUAGGACGUGCGGUCCUAUUUUGCUGGUUUCUAGAGUCGCCGUAAUGAUUAAUAGGGACAGUUGGGGGCAUUAGUAUUCAGUUGCUAGAGGUGAAAUUCUUGGAUUUACUGAAGAAUAACUUCUGCGAAAGCAUUUGCCAAGGAUGUUUUCAUUG